ACAUCCUACGGGAGGCAGCAGUGGGGAAUAUUGGGCAAUGGGGGAAACCCUGACCCAGCAACGCCGCGUGAGGGAAGAAGGCUUUCGAGUUGUAAACCUCUGUCCUAUGGGAAGAAGAAAGUGACUGUACCAUAGGAGGAAGCUCCGGCUAACUACGUGCCAGCAGCCGCGGUAAUACGUAGGUGGCAAGCGUUGUCCGGAUUUACUGGGUGUAAAGGGCGUGCAGCCGGGCUGACAAGUCAGAUGUGAAAUCCCGCGGCUCAACCGCGGAACUGCAUUUGAAACUGUCAGUCUUGAGUACCGGG
RNAcentral lists this ribosomal RNA (305 nucleotides) under uncultured bacterium. RNAcentral describes it as "bacterial SSU rRNA". It matches the Rfam family "Bacterial small subunit ribosomal RNA", at positions 335 to 653 of the family's 1533-position model. The record is from RNAcentral.